AAGAUUAUUAGAUUAGUCUUUGGCACAGUCAGAUGGUUUAUUAUUUAAUUUUAUAUAUAUUUAUGUAGAGUAAAUAAUAAAAUUCAACAGUCUAAUUUAAAAAAAAAGUAAUUGUAGGGACAACACAUUUAACUGAAAAUAUUACAAAAUGGUUAAAAGUUUGUUGGUUUUUAUAGCAGGUGUUUAUACAGGUAUUUACGUUACUCAAAAUUAUGAGAUUCCUAGAGUUGAUGAACCUCAAGCAAUAUAUGAUAAAAUGAAAGAAUUUCUCAAUAAGUACCGGAAAGAAUAAAACUAAUUAGAUAAGAUUUAGGAAAAAUUAUAUUAGGCUUUAUUUUGUAAGCUAUAAAUACAAUAGCACAAUUAA
Long non-coding RNA from Sitophilus oryzae (rice weevil), 367 nucleotides. RefSeq lists it as uncharacterized. NCBI's taxonomy places the organism in Eukaryota, Metazoa, Arthropoda, Insecta, Coleoptera, Curculionidae. The transcript has 3 exons. The record is from RefSeq and is a predicted model, not a curated record.